AUCCAGCUGACGAGUCCGAAAUAGGACGAAAUGCACACCAUGGAU
This 45-nucleotide non-coding RNA is filed under the name Trichobilharzia regenti. The record is from RNAcentral. Lineage: Eukaryota; Metazoa; Platyhelminthes; Trematoda; Strigeidida; Schistosomatidae.